GAUGAACGCUGGCGUCGUGCCUAAUACAUGCAAGUCGAGCGAACAGAUGAGUAGCUUGCUCCUCUGACGUUAGCGGCGAACGGGUGAGUAACACGUGGAUAACCUACCUAUAAGACUGGGAUAACUUCUGGAAACCGGAGCUAAUACCGGAUAAUAUAUUUAACCGCAUGGUUCAAUAGUGAAAGCCGGUUUUUCUGUCACUUAUCUCUGGAUCCGCGCCGCAUUAGCUAGUUGGUAAGGUAACGGCUUACCAAGGCAACGAUGCGUAGCCGACCUGAGAGGGUGAGCGGACACUCUGGAACUGAGAGACGGUCCAGACUCCUACGGGAGGCAGCAGUAGGGAAUCUGCCGCAAUGGGAGAAAGCCUGAAGGAGAAACGCCGCGUGAGUGAUGAAGGUCUUCGGAUCGUAAAACUAUGUUAUUAGGGAAGAACAAAUGUGUAAGUAACUAUGCACGUCUUGACGGUACCUAAUCAGAAAGCCACGGCUAACUACGUG
Molecule: ribosomal RNA, 497 nt
Filed under: uncultured bacterium
Lineage: Bacteria
Description: partial 16S ribosomal RNA
Rfam family: Bacterial small subunit ribosomal RNA
Source: RNAcentral